UCCGUAGGUGAACCUGCGGAAGGAUCAUUACCGAGUGCAGGUCUGCCCCCGGGCAGGCCUAACCUCCCACCCGUGAAUACCUGACCAACGUUGCUUCGGCGGUGCGCCCCCCCCGGGGGUAGCCGCCGGAGACCACACCGAACCUCCUGUCUUUAGUGUUGUCUGAGCUUGAUAGCAAACCUAUUAAAACUUUCAACAAUGGAUCUCUUGGUUCCGGCAUCGAUGAAGAACGCAGCGAACUGCGAUAAGUAAUGUGAAUUGCAGAAUUCAGUGAAUCAUCGAGUCUUUGAACGCACAUUGCGCCCCCUGGCAUUCCGGGGGGCAUGCCUGUCCGAGCGUCAUUGCUGCCCUUCAAGCCCGGCUUGUGUGUUGGGUCGUCGUCCCCCCCGGGGGACGGGCCCGAAAGGCAGCGGCGGCACCGCGUCCGGUCCUCGAGCGUAUGGGGCUUUGUCACCCGCUCGUUAAAGGGCGGCCGGGCGCCAGCCGGCGUCUCCAACCUUCUAUUUACCAGGUGACCUCGGAUCAGGAGGAUCAAGUCGGGGGGGGGGGUGUC
Molecule: unclassified non-coding RNA, 553 nt
Filed under: Aspergillus calidoustus
Lineage: Eukaryota; Fungi; Ascomycota; Eurotiomycetes; Eurotiales; Aspergillaceae
Description: sequence contains partial 18S rRNA gene, ITS1, 5.8S rRNA gene, ITS2, partial 28S rRNA gene
Rfam family: 5.8S ribosomal RNA (bases 188-341)
Source: RNAcentral